UACGUAGGGUGCGAGCGUUGUCCGGAAUUAUUGGGCGUAAAGGGCUCGUAGGCGGUCCAUCGCGUCGGGUGUGAAAAGCUGGGGCUUAACCCCAGUCCUGCUUUCGAUACGGGUGGACUAGAGGUAGGCAGGGGAGAAUGGAAUUCCUGGUGUAGCGGUGAAAUGCGCAGAUAUCAGGAAGAACACCCGUGGCGAAGGCGGUUCUCUGGGACGGUACUGACGCUGAGACGCGAAAGCGUGGGGAGCGAACAGG
This 253-nucleotide ribosomal RNA is filed under the name uncultured bacterium. Its description in RNAcentral is "partial 16S ribosomal RNA". It matches the Rfam family "Bacterial small subunit ribosomal RNA", at positions 524 to 776 of the family's 1533-position model. The record is from RNAcentral.